AAAUCUAUGAUGCAUGGCUUUUUCUCCCAGCUCUGCUGAGGUGAUUCAUCUGGGAAAGGAAGAGAAUGUUUUGCUCACCCUCCUCCGCAGGGACAGUCCCCAUCCCCUGGCCCAGCCCAUGCCCUGCCUGCACUGCUGUGUGUCCUGGCUCUGGGGUCAAAGCUCACCCUCCCCACCGAGGCCAUGCCUUGCAGCGCCCUGGGGAGCGCGGGCCCCUGGCUGUAGCAGCCUGCUGCAUGCUGCGGGGUUGCUGUUCACAUCAGCGGGACUUACAGAGGUGGUUGGAGCCAGCUAGGUAUGAAUAGAUUCAUGAAGGUCUCUGCAGGAAGCUCGUAAUUAGUCCAAUAACGUGGAGACAUUGUUACUGCAGCUCAUUAAAUUUGGCAAUGCUCACUUGGACCUUUGAGUGCUGGCAGUGUCAAGUUGACCUGAAACGCAAGGAUUCCAUCUGUCGGGAAUUACUGAUGAAUUGGAAAUUAAAUAUAAGGAAUAAAGACAUAGACCUGCCAUUUCUGUAAAGACCACGUUCUUCGCGGGGAUUCUGCAGCAUGAAGAAGGACUAUCAUAGACUCCACUGCAGAACAGCCGUGCACAAGUCUGGUGCUCUCGAGCACCUGCUUUCUUCAAGCACUCAUACCACAAAGUACAAAAUGAGCUUGCGAGAGCUGUGGACAUUUGUCCUGGUCAGGUGCUUGUCUGGGCCCAUGCUGGCUCUGCAUGGAAGGGACAUCAGGCAAGCACGUGUGACACCUUGUGCAGGCGUAGUUGAUAUGUUUAUCUCAUUAAUGUAAUUUUUCUAUAAACAUGCAUAUAUUUCUCCCAUCUCAGCACUGAAGAGGCAGCAUGUCAGCUGCAUUCUCACCUGCGCUGUGUGGGAGCUCAGCUUACACAAGGAGAAAGAAGUGUCCCUGUGUGGCAGGGAGCUUUCCAGCUUGGGGCAGAAAAGUGUCUGAUUGUUUUCCUGCUCUGGCUCCCUCAAAUAAGGCCAGCAAAGAGCAGGGGCUAGCGAGGUUAUAAUGGUGUUGUUUGAUCUCCCACUAAUGAAGCCUAAGUAUAAGUUACUGCACCAGCUACUCCCCUUACCGUACCACUGUCAGGGAGCACAAGAACCAUUUUCCAAUGCUCCUGUGCUGUCUCAGUGGUGAUUUCUUGCUCCACUACCCAUUCUAUUGCUGCAAAACUAAAUACGUGACCAUGGUGGGUUUGUCAUGUUUGCCUUCUAGCUGCUAUUGGACAGGUUUGCUGUCAGCUACAGAGCUAACACCGAAACCAAGUACAUGGGCAUGUUGUAAAAGCUUCUUGAAAGGAGGGAGAAACAAGGCUGCUUACAGAAGCUCUUAAAUGGGAUUUUAUCUUGUGUGGAUUGUGGAUUGACUCAUUGUGAGUAAAGUUGUGAAAUCCAUGGGAAGAGACUGUGCUUGUGCUAACUGGUAGAGCAACCUCAAUGGGACACUUGCAAUUUUGCAUAGACUGGUAAGCUUCUAUAGCUGAUGAGAUGACAGUGCUUUAUGUUCUCAUGAGCGCAUUUUCUUGUUGUGUCAGGGGAGGGCAUUUCUCUGUUCAGAGAAUGGUUUAGUACAGUAGGUGUUCCGAAUGUAUGCGUACACAUGCAAAAGAGGGAAGCAUUCACUCCCACUAAGGUCCUUGCUCACUCUUCCAGCCUGUGCCCUCUUCCCUUCUCAACCUUGGUGUGAAGCUGUGCAGCAUUCAACCAGGUGUUUGGAAACCAAACUACUGGGUCCCUUGCCAUGUGUGUGUGUAUUUGCCAGAGCCCUCUGGUGCCUCAGCCUUCUCAAAUGAUGGCAGCACACCCUUUUGCUGUUCUGCACAUUGGGGCCAGCUCAGAUGAUAGAAAUCUGUUGAUCUGGGGUUAAAACACCAAAAAGAUGUGAGACAUGGUGUGGAGACAGUGGCAGGGAGAUGGUUAACAUCCUCCCCCUUAGCAGGGAGAGAUGCAGCUGCUGAUCCAGUCUGACAAACUGAAAGGGGAUCCAACCCCCAGGGAAAUGUGUCUGGAGUUACUUAAUCCCAAAAGGAUUAGACAAGGAGUACACUCUAGGGAAUUUCUCAAGACUUUCUGCCGUUAAAGAAAAGUGAAAUGAAACCCCUCAAACCAACAACAAUUCCUUUCCCCUUGACAGUGUGCAGCAAUGGAUACCCCUGAACUUUCACCGAAAAACAUUGGGAGGGGCAGCAUGGAUGCGGUCCAACUCUUCUCACUGUACUUUUACCUCCCAUCCUACCCCUGAGUCAGUCUGUGCUGUUACUCUGGAAAUCAUCCUCUGCCUUGGCUUCAGUGGUGCUAUCAUUUCCUGCCUCUCCUCCUUCUUCUUUAAUCUCAUUCAGCACAUCCUAUGGACGAGCUUCUCAUCUCCCUCCAGCUUUUGUAUGGAUUUCAUCAGUCUGAGUCUUUUAUCCCCACCUCUUCCUCCUCUGUAUCUUACCUCUGGUUAAUCUCAGCCGUGCUCCCCACUUUGCCUGUUCAUCUGUUAUCUUUUUGACUUGCAUUUAGACUGCAAACUCUUUGGAAUAGGGCCUGUCUUUUUAUUUUAUACUUUUACAGUGCCUCUAGGAAUCUCCAGGAUCAUGAAAUCACAGACUGGAUUUAAGUCAUCGUGCAGAAUAAAAACAUUAGAAGACAACUAGCCCAUAAGGUUGCGUGGAAAUAUCUCUCUCAUUUUCAGCAGCAGUCUGAAGCAGUAGAGCUCUGGUUGGUACAACAGCGAGAAACCCACUCUCCCUCAAAACACAGUGGGAUGGAGCAAACCUGCAGCUCACCCCCCAGUAUGUCACUGCCUUGCCAACAGUAGGCAUCAAUUUAUGGUGAGGAAGUGUAAAAGGUUCUGUUCCUUUCACAAGUAGCACCAAGAAGCCUUAGUUAUCUUGGCUACAUGGGAGAUUGGUGUGGUUACAAUGAUGUCCAACUGCUGCCAUGCGCACCACCGCCAGCGUACAUCAUGUAAGGGAUGCUUUUCAAGAAGCCAUGACAGUAAGGUUUUUGUCCAUUUGUUUCUGUUUUCUUUUUUGGCAGGCUCUCAGAAGCACUAAAUGUACUGGAAGAGAAGAAUAAUCUGGGUGUCUUGACUAGUGCACAUUUUAUAUGCCAGUGGGCUCCAAUCAGCACUUCUUUUCUCCAGUUCACUGAGACCUUCAGAGAGGCUCCUUGUUGUUCCCAGGCAAAUAUCUACUUCUACUCACUGUACCAAACUAGUCUGAGAAGAUGAAACAAUGUUUUGAUUUGCUUUGUUUUGCUUGAGGACCUUCUGUCCUUUUCCACCUCUUCUAUAAUGAGCUCUAGAAGAUUGCCUCAUUAAUUCUAAACGGGUAUGUCCAUGUAACCAAUCAUCCCUGAUGGCCACAAUUAACCUCCAGCCAGCACAAACUCAUUUUGGCAUUUGGCUCCUUGAUUAUUACCGUGUUUCUCAGAGAUGCCAGAGGGCUGCAGGAUUCUCACGGUGCCCGAUCAUAGUGCACAGGUGUCUUCCUUCCCCCUUGGCCCCACCAACCUGAAGCAUCCACACAGCAGUUGCCCACCUGUAACCCACAUUACCAUGUCCUCCUCUGCUUCUCAACUCUUUGACCACAAGUAGUUUUCUUUAUGGGCUUGGUCAUUGAGGGGGGGAGUCUGACCCUCUCAGCAUCUUUGAAUCUUUUCCCACAACAUAAAAGAGGAAGUAGCUGAUGAUUUAUUAAGAUGUAGUAAACCAUUAAUUCCGCCAUUCAGGAUCCAGUGAAUUUUUUUUGCUGCAUCUUUUAUUGAGCCACCUCUGCUCUAUUGACUGGAUGAUUACAUGUUUCUAAAAGUAACUGAAGGUUACCCAACAACCUGAUGUCUGUCUGAAGAAAGACAAAUGGCAGAUCGUUGGAUCGAUCUAUCUACUGGUUAACAUGAUUGUAAAACUAUUUUAAACAAUCAACCUGUUUCUGCUCUAGGAUUGCUGCAGGAAGCAGCUUUGGGAAAAAAGAAAAGUACUUCUAAGGCGAAUGACAUAUGAAUGUACUUAUGCAGGCAAUAUCUAGACAAGGGCAAUGAGAUGAAUGGGAAACGCUGGACCAGAGUUUCUGUUCUGGCAUGGAGAUGCUUCUCUACUCCCUGCACGCAAAUUUGCCUUGCUGCCUCUUGAUGUUGUGCUCAGAUAGUGCCACUGCUGGUACUUUUCUCUGACAGUAAAAACAUUUCCAUAAUAAUGAUAACAAUAGCAGCCAGAUGGUAAAAUUCUGAAGGAAAAAAA
Meleagris gallopavo (turkey) is the source of this 4232-nucleotide non-coding RNA. NCBI's taxonomy places the organism in Eukaryota, Metazoa, Chordata, Aves, Galliformes, Phasianidae. The record is from RefSeq and is a predicted model, not a curated record.